GAUGAAGAACGCAGCGAAAUGCGAUAAGUAGUGUGAAUUGCAGAAUUCAGUGAAUCAUCGAAUCUUUGAACGCACAUUGCGCCUGCCAGCACUCUGGCAGGCAUGCCUGUUCGAGCGUCAUUUCAACCAUCAAGCCCUAGGCUUGCGUUGGAGCCCUGCGGCUGCCGCAGGCCCCUAAAAGCAGUGGCGGGCUCGCUAUCACACCGAGUGCAGUAGAUUACUCUUCGCUCAGGGCGUGUGGCGGGUUCCAGCCGUGAAACCCCCUACUUCUCAAGGUUGACCUCGGAUCAGGUAGGAAUACCCGCUGAACUUAAGCAUAUCAAUAAGCGGAGGA
RNAcentral lists this unclassified non-coding RNA (334 nucleotides) under soil metagenome. RNAcentral describes it as "partial contains 5.8S ribosomal RNA, internal transcribed spacer 2, and large subunit ribosomal RNA". The stretch from base 1 to 120 matches the Rfam family "5.8S ribosomal RNA", at positions 35 to 154 of the family's 154-position model. The record is from RNAcentral.